AGUGAACGCUGGCGGUAGGCCUAACACAUGCAAGUCGAACGGCAGCACAGUAAGAGCUUGCUCUUACGGGUGGCGAGUGGCGGACGGGUGAGGAAUACAUCGGAAUCUACUUUUUCGUGGGGGAUAACGUAGGGAAACUUACGCUAAUACCGCAUACGACCUACGGGUGAAAGCAGGGGAUCUUCGGACCUUGCGCGAUUGAAUGAGCCGAUGUCGGAUUAGCUAGUUGGCGGGGUAAAGGCCCACCAAGGCGACGAUCCGUAGCUGGUCUGAGAGGAUGAUCAGCCACACUGGAACUGAGACACGGUCCAGACUCCUACGGGAGGCAGCAGUAGGGAAUAUUGGACAAUGGGCGCAAGCCUGAUCCAGCCAUGCCGCGUGAGUGAAGAAGGCCUUCGGGUUGUAAAGCCCUGUUGUUGGGAAAGAAAAGCAGCAGAUGAAUACCCCGCUGUUCUGACGGUACCCAAAGAGUAAGCACCGGCUAACUUCGUG
This 492-nucleotide ribosomal RNA is filed under the name uncultured bacterium. RNAcentral describes it as "partial 16S ribosomal RNA". It matches the Rfam family "Bacterial small subunit ribosomal RNA", at positions 29 to 507 of the family's 1533-position model. The record is from RNAcentral.